GAUGAACGCUGGCGGCGUGCCUAAUACAUGCAAGUCGAGCGAACGGACGAGAAGCUUGCUUCUCUGAUGUUAGCGGCGGACGGGUGAGUAACACGUGGAUAACCUACCUAUAAGACUGGGAUAACUUCGGGAAACCGGAGCUAAUACCGGAUGAUAUUUUGAACCGCAUGGUUCAAAAGUGAAAGACGGUCUUGCUGUCACUUAUAGAUGGAUCCGCGCUGCAUUAGCUAGUUGGUAAGGUAACGGCUUACCAAGGCAACGAUGCAUAGCCGACCUGAGAGGGUGAUCGGCCACACUGGAACUGAGACACGGUCCAGAGUCCUACGGGAGGCAGCAGUAGGGAAUCUUCCGCAAUGGGCGAAAGCAUGACGGAGCAACGCCGCGUGAGUGAUGAAGGUCUUCGGAUCGUAAAAAUCUGUUAUUAGGGAAGAACAGAUGUGUAAGUAACUGUGCACAUCUUGACGGUACCGAAUCAGAAAGCCACGGCUAACUACGUG
Molecule: ribosomal RNA, 497 nt
Filed under: uncultured bacterium
Lineage: Bacteria
Description: partial 16S ribosomal RNA
Rfam family: Bacterial small subunit ribosomal RNA
Source: RNAcentral